UCUUCUUCUAGCUUCUCAAAGCUUUCAUGGUGUAGCCAAAGUCCGUAUGAUUCUUUGGCUUUGUAUCUUCUAACAAGGAAACACUUCUUAGGCUUAUAAGAUCGGGUUGCGGUUUAAGUUCUUAUACUCAAUCAUACACAUGACAUCAAGUCAUAAUCGAUUGCAAAACACUAACCAACCUUCUUCUUGCGUCUUGAUAAUAAGUUUUUAGUCAAUUAUUCCUAAAACACCAAUCAUGUCGUUGUAGUAUUUUAGGUGUCAAUCCAAAUGGGUGUGAUGCAAACAGAUGAGAUGUGAUCAGAAGUCACUAAGUCAAGCCAAGCAAUAACAGUUUUGGGGUUUCUAACAGUCCUAAGCGAACAUGCAGAAAACAGAAGCAAUAACAGAAUUACUAAAAUCACUCGACCACAACAGGCUGAUGCCAGAAGUAGGAUGUGGUCGAGUAACAGGUCGAGUAAUAGACAGGAUAUGAAACAGCUAUACUCGACUGCACAGUCUGUUGCCAGACACUGGGUGUGGUCGAGUAAGUUGGUCGAGUGAUUGUAAAAACUAAGAAACAGGCAAUGAGAACGAUUAAGCGAUAACGAUAAAACAGAGAAAUAAGAUAGACGAGAAAUUCCUAAAGAUGGGGUAAUCGAGUAGAGUGGUGUCCUAGCCUAUUCGAAUGGUUAACAAGCGCAAUCAAGCUAUCCCUAGACAACAGGUUCAACAACAGACCAAUUCACUCCCGUGAUAGAAAUCCUCAAGCAAAGCUAGCCCAGACUAAUUCCCAUUAACGGAAUCUAACUAUGCAGGCAAUACGAACAGACUGAUAAAGUCAAUAAACGCUCUAAACGGCCAAUCCCUUGGGAUAGAGACGCAUAUCUCAGGAACUAGUGGAUCAAGCAUUCCAUCGAACACCUUCUGGGUGCGGGAAUGCUUGGGAUCGAAUUCCAGUUGAUCAGAAAGAAAUAAGCAGUAAACGCAACUAGUCCUAAAGGGAUUCAAUCAAUUCUAAAACUUAACCAUUCUACAGACUACGGAUUCCACAACUACUCUAUCCCAUCCCUAAGAAUUCUAAGUCACUACUCAGACAGCAUGCUCAAAGACAUAAACGCAGGUAAACGAUAAUAUUGCAUAAGUAAAGAGAUAAAGAGUAGAGAAACAAGAUGACUAAUGAAAUCAAACGCGGAAUCUCAAUAACUUGGAAAAUUCGCGAACCACAGGUUGCAGAAGCAAAAGCGGCGUAGCAGAGUAAAACUGAAAAUAAAACUGAAGCAAAAACGCAAUGUCGACUAGAUGUCUCAGGACAGAACCCUAAAACAUCUAUUUAUACCAAACGAAAUAAAAUGAUCGUAAACGGGCCAAUAACCUAAUCGCCCAGCCCAUAGAGUGAUAAUGGGCCGAGAUGGGCUUCGUGAUCCGAUGGAGGUCCAGGCCGCUUCCAAACACUUUGUCUUCUCUUCUUUUCUUCCUUGUGCUCAGCUUGUCUGGUUGAGUGCGGAUUUGAGUAGACUGUGAAGACGUGAUCGAGUGUCCGGUCGAGUGAUGGUGAUGGUGGUGAGUGAUGAUACUCGACCAGGGGGUCGAGUAACGUGGUAGAGUGAAUGGUCGAGUGUGGUCAGGUGGUGUGGCGAAGCGGUACUCGACCAGGGGGUCGAGUAAUGUCGUCGAGUGGCCUGAGCUGAGGUUACUCGACCUGGUGGUCGAGUGGACGGGAAGAAUGGCUCCAAAGUCACUCGACCUGGGGGUCGAGUAUGUGGGAAGAAUGGCUCCAAAGUCACUCGGCCUGGGGGUCGAGUAUGUCUUCUGGUUCUGGCUCGAUUCUUCCAAUUUGCUCGCAAACAGCUCCAAAUCACCUGAAAACAACUCAGAAAUGCAAUAUGUAUGCAAAGCUAUCCUAAUCAUGCAAAAUGUGCAAGAAUGAUGAGAAAUGGUAUAAAACAGUGAUGAAUGAUACGAAACUAGACUCAAAGUGAUGAUGAAUAGACACUGAAAACAUGCAAAUUAUAGACAUAUCAACUCCCCCAAACUUAGUCUUUGCUUGCCCUCAAGCAAAUAAGAAGACAUAGUUGAAGGAGAGGAGUGAAGGCGGGGACUCAGAACCAAAGCAUAUGAUAGAGCAAAUAAAAUCAAUGUCCAAGUUGGUAGUUCUAAGAUGCGAUAUGAUUGAAUUCCACUCAAAAACGUUAGCCAUGCCUUGUUAUCAAUAAAUCCGUCUCUUAUACUCGACCUACACAUGUUUUCAAAUCUACCAAUCCCUUUAACAUUCAUUAGUUCUGGAACGUGAAUCAAGCAAUGCAUCAUCAAUGAACUCAUUUGGCUAAGGUGAAGGUCAAGAGACAAAGAUGGUCCCCUACAGAAUAGGCUUAAGUAACAGGGGAUCCCUCAAGAAUGAUUGAGCUUUAGUAGAAUGCUAAAGGUAAGUCCCAAGUUAUGCAUACAGAGAUAAGAUCCCAUCUACCCAGAGUAUAACAAUGAAGCUCUAAUGGUAAUCCCAACUCCUGUCCCAACUUAACUCUACCCUUUGCACUCAUGAAUCUUUCAAACUCUUUUUCAUAUCAUUCUUUUUUU
Molecule: small RNA, 2553 nt
Filed under: Arabidopsis thaliana (thale cress)
Lineage: Eukaryota; Viridiplantae; Streptophyta; Magnoliopsida; Brassicales; Brassicaceae
Description: ATSL267810
Source: RNAcentral